UAAGCGGAGGAAAAGAAACUAACAAGGAUUCCCCUAGUAACUGCGAGUGAAGCGGGAAAAGCUCAAAUUUAAAAUCUGGUGGUCUUUGGCCAUCCGAGUUGUAAUUUAGAGAAGCGUCUUCCGCGCUGGACCGUGCACAAGUCUCCUGGAAUGGAGCGUCAUAGAGGGUGAGAAUCCCGUCUUUGGCACGGAUGUACCAGGGCUUUUGUGAUGCGCUCUCGAAGAGUCGAGUUGUUUGGGAAUGCAGCUCAAAAUGGGUGGUGAACUCCAUCUAAAGCUAAAUAUUGGCGAGAGACCGAUAGCGAACAAGUACCGUGAGGGAAAGAUGAAAAGCACUUUGGAAAGAGAGUGAAACAGUACGUGAAAUUGUUGAAAGGGAAACGCUUGAAGUCAGUCGCGUCGACCGAGACUCAGCCUUGCCUCGGCUUGGUGUACUUCUCGGCUGACGGGUCAGCAUCAAUUUUGCCCCUUGGAUAAUGGCAAGGGAAAUGUGACACCUUUACGGUGUGUUAUAGUCCUUCGUCGCAUGCAAGGGUCGGGAUUGAGGAACUCAGCACGCGCCCUCGGGCGUCGGGGCUUUGCCCACGAUACGUGCUUAGGAUGUUGGCGUAAUGGCUUUAAACGA
This 625-nucleotide ribosomal RNA is filed under the name Russula sp. GAL14523. RNAcentral's name for it is "LSU rRNA". It matches the Rfam family "Eukaryotic large subunit ribosomal RNA", at positions 47 to 647 of the family's 3401-position model. Lineage: Eukaryota; Fungi; Basidiomycota; Agaricomycetes; Russulales; Russulaceae. The record is from RNAcentral.